AACAAUAUUGCGACGGGUGCUAUGUAUCCGAACAAGCAAGCCCUGAAGGAUGCAAUAAUUAAUUGGGCAAUGUCCACGCAAAGGGUUUUCAAAGCUGAGGUGUCCAGUCAGAAAUUCCUCACAAUGGUAUGCAAGAACGCAGAUUGUCCCGCAAGGGUGCACGGCUUUCUCCCUAAGUAUGGCACAAGUUGGGUGAUAAGUGACUUAGUUAAUCACACUUGUCUUAUUCCCUGCAUCCCUCAAGAUCAUGCCAACCUUUCAUCCACGCUUAUUGCUCGACUGUUUUACGAUGAGAUAGUGCAAGGCAAAGCUAUGGAAGUGAAGGCAGUGCAG
Molecule: ribosomal RNA, 333 nt
Filed under: Triticum aestivum (bread wheat)
Lineage: Eukaryota; Viridiplantae; Streptophyta; Magnoliopsida; Poales; Poaceae
Description: partial small subunit ribosomal RNA
Source: RNAcentral